This 264-nucleotide long non-coding RNA is filed under the name Elaeis guineensis (African oil palm). RNAcentral's name for it is "long non-coding RNA (EGUI_LNC019306)". Lineage: Eukaryota; Viridiplantae; Streptophyta; Magnoliopsida; Arecales; Arecaceae. The record is from RNAcentral.
GGCCAUUCUCCCAUCUAUCUUUGCUUUUCUUUAUAUCUGUUCGUUCUUCUUCUUCAUCCCCCCAUCUCUUUCCUUCACCUUCUAUUUUUGGGUUUAGCAUUGUCCAUUAGCCUUAAAAUGGAUAGACCGAAAAAAGAGAUAGUAGUGAGAGAGCCUUCCGAUUCUCCCUCGAGAGAUGAUCUUGGGGAUACUAGUGUCGGGCAUGAGGGUGAGAACUUCAUGCCCGAUAGAUUUUGCUCCACAAUAGACUUAGAGGAUCUUAGU